AGUGAACGCUGGCGGUAGGCCUAACACAUGCAAGUCGAACGGCAGCACAGUAAGAGCUUGCUCUUACGGGUGGCGAGUGGCGGACGGGUGAGGAAUACAUCGGAAUCUACUUUUUCGUGGGGGAUAACGUAGGGAAACUUACGCUAAUACCGCAUACGACCUACGGGUGAAAGCAGGGGAUCUUCGGACCUUGCGCGAUUGAAUGAGCCGAUGUCGGAUUAGCUAGUUGGCGGGGUAAAGGCCCACCAAGGCGACGAUCCGUAGCUGGUCUGAGAGGGUGGUCAGCCACACUGGAACUGAGACACGGUCCAGACUCCUACGGGAGGCAGCAGUGGGGAAUAUUGGACAAUGGGCGCAAGCCUGAUCCAGCCAUACCGCGUGGGUGAAGAAGGCCUUCGGGUUGUAAAGCCCUUUUGUUGGGAAAGAAAAGCAGCAGGUUAAUACCCCGCUGUUCUGACGGUACCCAAAGAAUAAGCACCGGCUAACUUCGUG
This 492-nucleotide ribosomal RNA is filed under the name uncultured bacterium. Its description in RNAcentral is "partial 16S ribosomal RNA". It matches the Rfam family "Bacterial small subunit ribosomal RNA", at positions 29 to 507 of the family's 1533-position model. The record is from RNAcentral.